GAUGAACGCUGGCGGCGUGCCUAACACAUGCAAGUCGAGCGAUUUACUUCGGUAAAGAGCGGCGGACGGGUGAGUAACGCGUGGGUAACCUGCCCUGUACACACGGAUAACAUACCGAAAGGUAUGCUAAUACGAGAUAAUAUGCUUUUAUCGCAUGGUAAGUAUCAAAGCUCUGGCGUUACAGGAUGGACCCGCGUCUGAUUCGCUAGUUGGUAAGGUAACGGCUUACCAAGGCGACGAUCAGUAGCCGACCUGAGAGGGUGAUCGGCCACAUUGGAACUGAGACACGGUCCAAACUCCUACGGGAGGCAGCAGUGGGGAAUAUUGCACAAUGGGCGAAAGCCUGAUGCAGCAACGCCGCGUGAGCGAUGAAGGCCUUCGGGUCGUAAAGCUCUGUCCUCAAGGAAGAUAAUGACGGUACUUGAGGAGGAAGCCCCGGCUAACUACGUGCCAGCCGCCGCCGUAA
This 466-nucleotide ribosomal RNA is filed under the name uncultured bacterium. Its description in RNAcentral is "partial 16S ribosomal RNA". It matches the Rfam family "Bacterial small subunit ribosomal RNA", at positions 28 to 523 of the family's 1533-position model. The record is from RNAcentral.